UCAGGGCACUGUUUACGCGAUUGGAGGAUGUGCCAAACGUCCUAACGUUUGAAGCAUGCGGGGAGGUUGUUUGAAACGUUUGACGCCGUUAGCUUUCAAAACCCACGCGGCCACACCAACUCUUUUGCUUCUACAGUGACGCUGAGUACUUUGCCUAAAACCUCCGUUCGUCGCCGGAGAAAUGAAAACUCCGGUGAUUGAUCCUUCUAUACGUCGCUGAAUGUCCGUAUUUCCGUUCUUCGCCGUCACGUCUUUCACGAACCUUGCUUUAAGCGUUCCUAAAAAUGGAGAGCAGCAGUUGAAGGUAGAAGAGAAUAGAUUUCUCUGGUUUUAGUCUCGCUAAAGAACAUGCCUCCUUUGACUAUCCAGCCAUUAGAUGGCCAUUUGCUUGAAGAGUCUGUCGUGAAAUCGCGUCUCAAGAGGCUCUUAGAGCGGCAAAAGUUCCUGAGUGUUCUGAGGUUUUCAUCGACUGAGAAGCCCAUCCUUGGUGAACAACAGUAUAACAAAGAUGCUACUAACAACAACAACGAUUGGGAGCCGAGUUCUGUGUGUUUGGUCAAGAUGGUUUAGAACUUCAUUGAAGAGAACAAUGAAAAGCACUCCUCAACUGCCAAAUGCAGACAAAAUCGAUGCAAUUGCUUCAAUGGAAAUUGCAAAGAUAGCUACGAGAUGAAUUCGACUUGCGCAAUUGUUUCGGUGAACCGAUGCCGGUGGCUUCCUGUGGCGAUGUCUGCGAAUUUCUCAAGAGCUUGGUUCCUUGUGCGAGCGUUGUCGAGAGAAACCUCUUAGUGGACACUGCGAAGAUCAUAGAGAAGAACAAGAGCUGCAAACUUAAGGAUGCUUGCAAAAAAGAUCGUCACUGAUGGUCUUAUUAGUCUUGGCUAUGGUGCAUCUAUCUGCAAAUCGCGUUGGGAAAAAUCUCCAUUUUAUCCUGUUGGAGAAUACGAAUACAUAGACAUUAUUGUGGAAGGUGAACGAUUGAUAGUCGACGUAGACUUUCCGAUCAGAAUUCGUGAUUCCACCACUGGUGAUGGUUGUUUGUUGCCAGCGGUAAUAAUUGUUAAGUCGCCAUCGGAUGGAAGAGGGAGAGAGAGGGAGAGAGAGGGAGAGAGAGGGAGAAGAGAAUUUGUGACACUCGAGCGAAAGGAAGGGGCUCGAAAAAUGGGUUUUAAAAGCUAAUGGCGUCAAACGUUUCAAACAACCUCCCCGCAUGCUUCAAACGUUUACACGAGUGGAGGCGCGUCCUCCAAUCGGCCCUGACCGAAGCUGCCUGAACUGAAGCCGGAAUCACAUAUUUACUAGCUGUCGUACUUUACAAAAAUUCUCAUUUUUAC
Non-coding RNA from Nelumbo nucifera (sacred lotus), 1334 nucleotides. NCBI's taxonomy places the organism in Eukaryota, Viridiplantae, Streptophyta, Magnoliopsida, Proteales, Nelumbonaceae. The record is from RefSeq and is a predicted model, not a curated record.